RNAcentral lists this ribosomal RNA (447 nucleotides) under uncultured bacterium. RNAcentral's name for it is "partial 16S ribosomal RNA". It matches the Rfam family "Bacterial small subunit ribosomal RNA", at positions 329 to 792 of the family's 1533-position model. The record is from RNAcentral.
UGCCAGACUCCUACGGGAGGCAGCAGUGGGGGAUAUUGCACAAUGGGGGGAACCCUGAUGCAGCGACGCCGCGUGGGUGAAGGAGCGUUUCGGCGCGUAAAGCCCUAUCGGCAGGGAAGAAGGAGGACGGUACCUGACUAAGAAGCCCCGGCUAACUACGUGCCAGCAGCCGCGGUAAUACGUAGGGGGCAAGCGUUAUCCGGAUUUACUGGGUGUAAAGGGGGCGCAGACGGCAGCGCAAGCCAGGAGUGAAAGCCCGGGGCCCAACCCCGGGACUGCUCUUGGAACUGUGUGGCUGGAGUGUCGGAGAGGCAGGCGGAAUUCCUAGUGUAGCGGUGAAAUGCGUAGAUAUUAGGAGGAACACCAGUGGCGAAGGCGGCCUGCUGGGCUUCUACUGACGCUGAGGCUCGAAAGUGUGGGGAGCAAACAGGAUUAGAUACCCCAGUA